This 796-nucleotide ribosomal RNA is filed under the name uncultured bacterium. Its description in RNAcentral is "bacterial LSU rRNA". It matches the Rfam family "Bacterial large subunit ribosomal RNA", at positions 167 to 1012 of the family's 2925-position model. The record is from RNAcentral.
UAGCUAGUCGAAGCGAACGAGGGGAACUGAAACAUCUAAGUACCCUUAGGAAAAGAAAUCAACCGAGAUUCCGAAAGUAGCGGCGAGCGAAAUUGGAACAGCCCUUAAGCUGUUUAGAAGUUAGUGGAAUGUUCUGGAAAGUACAGCGAUACAGGGUGAUAGCCCCGUACACAAAAACUUCUUUAUAGUGAAAACGAGUAGGUCGGGACACGAGAAAUCCUGACUGAAUAUGGGGGGACCAUCCUCCAAGGCUAAAUACUCCUAAUUGACCGAUAGUGAACCAGUACCGUGAGGGAAAGGCGAAAAGAACCCCUGUGAGGGGAGUGAAAUAGAACCUGAAACCGUGUACGUACAAGCAGUAGGAGCCGACUUAGUUCGGUGACUGCGUACCUUUUGUAUAAUGGGUCAACGACUUAAUUUCAGUAGCAAGGUUAACCGAAUAGGGUAGCCGUAGGGAAACCGAGUCUUAACUGGGCGAAUAGUUGCUGGGAUUAGACCCGAAACUUGGUGAUCUAGCCAUGAGCAGGUUGAAGGUUGAGUAACAUCAACUGGAGGACCGAACCCACUAAUGUUGAAAAAUUAGGGGAUGACUUGUGGCUGGGGGUGAAAGGCCAAUCAAACCAAGAGAUAGCUGGUUCUCCUCGAAAGCUAUUUAGGUAGCGCCUCGUGUAUCACUGUUGGGGGUAGAGCACUGUUAAGGCUAGGGGGUCAUCCCGACUUACCAACCCUUUGCAAACUCCGAAUACCAACAAGUGCAAUCACGGGAGACACACGGCGGGUGCUAACGUCCGUCGUG